Heterocephalus glaber (naked mole-rat) is the source of this 1262-nucleotide long non-coding RNA. The record is from Ensembl. NCBI's taxonomy places the organism in Eukaryota, Metazoa, Chordata, Mammalia, Rodentia, Bathyergidae.
CAGCUAUUUCUGUUCUAGGUGUCUUCCCAAAAGAAUUAAAGACCUCAUAUUACAGUGAUAAAUGCAUGACCAUGUUGAUAGCACUGCAACUCAUAAUAGCUAAAUCUUGGAAACAGCCAUCCACAAAUGAAUGGAUAAACAAAAUGUAGUAUUUAUACAUAAUGCAGUAGAAGAAUAAACCUAGUCAUUUCUGGGAAAAUGGAUGCACCUUGAUGCCAUAAUGGCUCCAAGUCUCCUGUGGCCGCCCUUGAUAAUUCUCCAGGAACCAGGGAUCUGUAAAUUGGAAGAGAUAGGUCUCCAGGAGAGACUGAGAUGCUAUGGUGUGGUAUGAGGAGGCUUUGGGGAGCACCCAGCAGAAGACACCCCGAAAGAGAUGAAUACACAAAAUGGACUUGGACUCCUCCCAAGCUGCCGGAACUGUAACCCUUACUAGUAUUAAUCAGAAUAAAGUCGACAUGGGACCAAUGAACAUGGUACAGUGCCUACUGUGAGGAAAAGCUCAGCCUUACAUUUGUCCCCUCCUGGAUUCGAACUUGGAAGGCACCACCUGUGGAAGCAAUCAUGCAGAUUUCCCACAAUUUGGUUACAAGGUUCCUUCUUGUUCAAAUCUAGCGCGUAGACCCUACCUGGGUUCACGACCUUCAAAUCACAAGGACAACCAAGAGAUGAGAAUUUCUUCUGAAACGCGCUUCAGUGUCCAUUUCCCGAAACACAGACGAAGACUGCCUGGAGCUCUAACCUGGAAAUCUGAGACACAGAUAUUCAAAUCUCCUCACACUGCAUGGUUUGCAAGUAGUCUGACAUUGCGAGACUUUUAUGUAUUUAUUUUUUUACCACCACUGGAAAACUCUUUUGGGAUCUUCUAAUGUCAGACAGUUUACAGUGCCCAAUUCCUGAGGAUGUGCACUGCCUGCUUUUCCUUCAGAGUCAGUUUUUUUCCAGUGGGACUAAAGGGGUGACCAACAGUAAAGAGGGCAUCGGCUUAAAAUCCAAGUGAUGAGGACAUUGCAGAAGAUGGAUUGAAAACACUGCAUAGGCCGUGAAUGGUUGAGUGCUUGGUGAUAUGGUCAUAAUGGGCAUAGGAUUGAUGGGAAAUUCCAGCCUCGCCGGGGUCUGGUAGAAGACAUGAAGUAGACAAACUCAAGCACUCCAGGCUGCAGGUAAGAGGGAUGCAGUAACACCAAGAAUAAGUUUUCAUCCAUCCUCAGGCAAUAGAAGAUUUCAAGUUGUUUUGAUACAAAGCAGAAGGAAGUCAGGCUCCC